Molecule: ribosomal RNA, 218 nt
Filed under: uncultured bacterium
Lineage: Bacteria
Description: partial 16S ribosomal RNA
Rfam family: Bacterial small subunit ribosomal RNA
Source: RNAcentral
ACGCUCGACACCUACGGGAGGCAGCAGUGAGGAAUAUUGGUCAAUGGGCGCAGGCCUGAACCAGCCAAGUAGCGUGAAGGAUGACUGCCCUAUGGGUUGUAAACUUCUUUUAUAUGGGAAUAAAGUUUUCCACGUGUGGAAUUUUGUAUGUACCAUAUGAAUAAGGAUCGGCUAACUCCGUGCCAGUAGCCGGGUAAGUCUGAGCGGGCUGGCAAGGC